This 444-nucleotide ribosomal RNA is filed under the name uncultured soil bacterium. Its description in RNAcentral is "bacterial SSU rRNA". It matches the Rfam family "Bacterial small subunit ribosomal RNA", at positions 26 to 518 of the family's 1533-position model. The record is from RNAcentral.
AGAACGAACGCUGGCGGCAUGCCUAAUACAUGCAAGUCGAACGAGACCUUCGGGUCUAGUGGCGCACGGGUGCGUAACGCGUGGGAAUCUACCCUUGGGUUCGGAAUAACAGUUGGAAACGACUGCUAAUACCGGAUGAUGACGAAAGUCCAAAGAUUUAUCGCCCAGGGAUGAGCCCGCGUAGGAUUAGCUAGUUGGUGAGGUAAAGGCUUACCAAGGCUACGAUCCUUAGCUGGUCUGAGAGGAUGAUCAGCCACACUGGGACUGAGACACGGCCCAGACUCCUACGGGAGGCAGCAGUAGGGAAUAUUGGACAAUGGGGGCAACCCUGAAUCCAGCAAUGCGCGUGAGUGAUGAAGGCCUUAGGGUGUAAAGCUCUUUUACCCGAGAUGAUAAUGACAGUAUCGGAGAAUAAGCUCCGGCUAACUCCGUGCCAGCAGCCGC